CACGUAGGGUGCAAGCGUUGUCCGGAAUUAUUGGGCGUAAAGAGCUCGUAGGCGGUCUGUUGCGUCCGCUGUGAAAGCUCGGGGCUUAACCCCGAGCCUGCAGUGGAUACGGGCAGACUAGAGGUAGGUAGGGGAGAAUGGAAUUCCCGGUGUAGCGGUGAAAUGCGCAGAUAUCGGGAGGAACACCGGUGGCGAAGGCGGUUCUCUGGGCCUUACCUGACGCUGAGGAGCGAAAGCGUGGGGAGCGAACAGG
RNAcentral lists this ribosomal RNA (253 nucleotides) under uncultured bacterium. RNAcentral describes it as "partial 16S ribosomal RNA". It matches the Rfam family "Bacterial small subunit ribosomal RNA", at positions 524 to 776 of the family's 1533-position model. The record is from RNAcentral.